AUACCCCAUGAUGCUCAGGUCCGCCGCAUCUCCUGGGUCGUGGGGUCGGUCGAUCGAUUGCAUGUCUCGGUUCCUCGUGCCGUAUUGCAGUCGGUCGACCCCCAA
RNAcentral lists this small RNA (105 nucleotides) under Pseudorhizobium banfieldiae. Its description in RNAcentral is "Rhizobium sp. NT-26 EcpR1". It matches the Rfam family "EcpR1". From Rfam's summary of the family: Perviously named SmelC291, SmrC10, or Sra33. According to its overproduction phenotype it was renamed Elongated Cell Phenotype RNA1. The record is from Rfam by way of RNAcentral. Lineage: Bacteria; Pseudomonadati; Pseudomonadota; Alphaproteobacteria; Hyphomicrobiales; Rhizobiaceae.